Molecule: ribosomal RNA, 253 nt
Filed under: uncultured bacterium
Lineage: Bacteria
Description: partial 16S ribosomal RNA
Rfam family: Bacterial small subunit ribosomal RNA
Source: RNAcentral
GACAGAGGGUGCAAACGUUGUUCGGAAUUACUGGGCGUAAAGCGCGUGUAGGCUGCUCGGAAAGUCGGAUGUGAAAGCCCUGGGCUCAACCUAGGAAGCGCAUUCGAAACUUCCGAGCUGGAGUGCUGGAGAGGAAGGCGGAAUUCUCGGUGUAGAGGUGAAAUUCGUAGAUAUCGAGAGGAACACCGGUGGCGAAGGCGGCCUUCUGGACAGUAACUGACGCUGAGACGCGAAAGCGUGGGGAGCAAACAGG